RNAcentral lists this ribosomal RNA (592 nucleotides) under uncultured bacterium. RNAcentral describes it as "bacterial SSU rRNA". It matches the Rfam family "Bacterial small subunit ribosomal RNA", at positions 335 to 917 of the family's 1533-position model. The record is from RNAcentral.
ANUCCUACGGGGUGCAGCAGUGAGGAAUAUUGCGCAAUGGGGGCAACCCUGACGCAGCGACGCCGCGUGGGUGAGGAAGGCUUUCGGGUCGUAAAACCCUGUCAGAAGGGAAGAAGUGCUUAUAGGUUAAUACCUUGUAAGUUUGACGGUACCUUCAAAGGAAGCACCGGCUAACUCCGUGCCAGCAGCCGCGGUAAUACGGAGGGUGCAAGCGUUGUUCGGAAUCACUGGGCGUAAAGGGCGCGUAGGCGGCUUGGCAAGUCAGAUGUGAAAGCCCACGGCUUAACCGUGGAAGUGCAUUUGAAACUGCUUGGCUUGAGUAUCAGAGGGGAAAGUGGAAUUCCCGGUGUAGAGGUGAAAUUCGUAGAUAUCGGGAGGAAUACCGGUGGCGAAGGCGACUUUCUGGCUGAAUACUGACGCUGAGGCGCGAAAGCGUGGGGAGCAAACAGGAUUAGAUACCCUGGUAGUCCACGCCGUAAACGAUGUCAACUAGGUGCAGGGGGUGUUGAUCCCUUCUGUGUCGCAGCUAACGCAUUAAGUUGACCGCCUGGGGAGUACGGUCGCAAGAUUAAAACUCAAAGGAAUUGACGGA